UACGUAGGUGGCAAGCGUUGUCCGGAAUUAUUGGGCGUAAAGCGCGCGCAGGUGGUUCCUUAAGUCUGAUGUGAAAGCCCGGGGCUCACCCCCGGAAGGGCAUUGGAAACUGACGGACUCGAGUCCCGAAGAGGAGGGUGGAAUUCCUGGUGUAGCGGUGAAAUGCGUAGAUAUCAGGAGGAACACCGGUGGCGAAGGCGGCCCUCUGGACGGUGACUGACGCUGAGACGCGAAAGCGUGGGGAGCAAACAGG
This 253-nucleotide ribosomal RNA is filed under the name uncultured bacterium. Its description in RNAcentral is "partial 16S ribosomal RNA". It matches the Rfam family "Bacterial small subunit ribosomal RNA", at positions 524 to 776 of the family's 1533-position model. The record is from RNAcentral.